AGAAUCAACGCUGGCGGCGUGCCUAACACAUGCAAGUCGAACGAGAAAGUGGAGCAAUCCAUGAGUAAAGUGGCGACCGGGUGAGUAACACGUGACUAACCUACCUUCGAGUGGGGGAUAACCUCGGGAAAACCGGGGCUAAUACCGCAUAACAUCGUUUGAAGUGGAAAUUUCGGAGAUCAAAGGGGCAAUUCGCUUGAAGAGGGGAUCGCGGCUGAUUAGCUAGUUGGCGGGGUAACGCCCACCAAGGCUUAGAUCGGUA
Molecule: ribosomal RNA, 262 nt
Filed under: uncultured bacterium
Lineage: Bacteria
Description: partial small subunit ribosomal RNA
Rfam family: Bacterial small subunit ribosomal RNA
Source: RNAcentral